GGAAGGUGGGGAGGCUAGUAUAAAGACCAAGAAGACCAAGACUUUGCUAGGAAAAGGGACUCCAUCUAGGCAGCUGGACUCAGAUACAAGAAAGUCCCAUGGGCAAGAAGAAGGGGUAGCCCGAGCUGGGAUUUAUGAUGUGGGAAAGACGAGGUCAGUGGCUGAGGAUAAAGUUUGAUCCAGCAUAUUCUAAAAUGCUACAAGACUGCCAGCAAGUUUCAAAGACACAUCAGAGAGAACUCAACGGCCUGACCUGGAGACCAGGAGGAUGACAUUCUCAUUAGGCAAGAGAUGCUGGACCUUCUGCAGUAAUGAGAAAUGAAAGUCACCACUCUGCUCUAAAAGCAGGGGCUAUUUACCCCUGACCUGACACACUUCUCAAAGCUCUCACAAUAAAGGCACCCAGCAUCCACUUACUGUUUCACCAUUUACCAAGUAUUUUUACAUACUCUUUUGAAGUUAUAUACUCUCUUGAAGUUAGAAAUCUUAACACAACUGGAAAAAUGUGGAAAGUAAAGCUCAGAAAGCUUAGAAUCCCUCAAAUAUGGUAGAACUAUUAAUAGAACUUAACAAACCUUUUGACCGAACACCCUCAUUGUCUGACCUUGGUUCUCAUGACGAAAGUUCCUUAAUUUCAAGUAAAAAAACACUCUAAAGAUAUGGCCUCCAACCAAAAUGAGGGAAACUCAUCCUUUCCUGGGA
This 702-nucleotide long non-coding RNA is filed under the name Homo sapiens (human). Its description in RNAcentral is "HSALNT0264189". The record is from RNAcentral. Lineage: Eukaryota; Metazoa; Chordata; Mammalia; Primates; Hominidae.